GGUUAAGUUAAUAAGGGCGCACGGUGGAUGCCUUGGCACUAGAAGCCGAUGAAGGACGUGACUAACGACGAAAUGCUUUGGGGAGCUGUAAGUGAGCAAUGAUCCAGAGAAGUCCGAAUGGGGGAACCCGGCAGGUAAUGCCUGUCACUCAUUACUGUUAAGGUAAUGUAGAGGAAGACGCAGUGAACUGAAACAUCUAAGUAGCUGUAGGAAGAGAAAGCAAAAGCGAUUGCCUUAGUAGCGGCGAGCGAAACGGCAAGAGGGCAAACCGAAGAGUUUACUCUUCGGGGUUGUAGGACUGCAACGUGGACUUAAAGAUUAUAGAAGAACUACCUGGGAAGGUAGGCCAAAGAGAGUAAUAGCCUCGUAUUCGAAAUAGUCUUUAUACCUAGCAGUAUCCUGAGUACGGCGAGACACGAGAAAUCUCGUCGGAAUCUGGGAGGACCAUCUCCCAACCCUAAAUACUCUCUAGUGACCGAUAGUGAACCAGUACCGUGAGGGAAAGGUGAAAAGCACCCCGGGAGGGGAGUGAAAUAGAACCUGAAACCGUGUGCCUACAACAAGUUCGAGCCCGUUAAUGGGUGAGAGCGUGCCUUUUGUAGAAUGAACCGGCGAGUUACGAUAUGAUGCGAGGUUAAGUUGAAGAGACGGAGCCGUAGGGAAACCGAGUCUUAAUAGGGCGCAUUAGUAUCAUGUCGUAGACCCGAAACCAUGUGACCUACCCAUGAGCAGGUUGAAGGUGAGGUAAAACUCACUGGAGGACCGAACCAGGGCACGUUGAAAAGUGCUUGGAUGACUUGUGGGUAGCGGAGAAAUUCCAAACGAACUUGGAGAUAGCUGGUUCUCUCCGAAAUAGCUUUAGGGCUAGCGUCGAUGUUAAGUCUCUUGGAGGUAGAGCACUGUUUGGGUGAGGGGUCCAUCCCGGAUUACCAAUCUCAGAUAAACUCCGAAUGCCAAUGAGAUAUAAUCGGCAGUCAGACUGCGAGUGCUAAGAUCCGUAGUCGAAAGGGAAACAGCCCAGACCACCAGCUAAGGUCCCAAAAUAUAUGUUAAGUGGAAAAGGAUGUGGGGUUGCACAGACAACUAGGAUGUUAGCUUAGAAGCAGCUAUUCAUUCAAAGAGUGCGUAAUAGCUCACUAGUCGAGUGACCCUGCGCCGAAAAUGUACCGGGGCUAAAACAUAUUACCGAAGCUGUGGAUACCUUUAUAGGUAUGGUAGGAGAGCGUUCUAUGUGCGAAGAAGGUGUACCGUGAGGAGUGCUGGAGCGCAUAGAAGUGAGAAUGCCGGUAUGAGUAGCGAAAGACAGGUGAGAAUCCUGUCCACCGUAAGACUAAGGUUUCCAGGGGAAGGCUCGUCCGCCCUGGGUUAGUCGGGACCUAAGGAGAGACCGAAAGGUGUAUCCGAUGGACAACAGGUUGAUAUUCCUGUACUAGAGUAUAUAGUGAUGGAGGGACGCAGUAGGCUAACUAAACCAGACGAUUGGAAGUGUCUGGCCAAGCAGUGAGGUGUGAUAUGAGUCAAAUGCUUAUAUCUUUAACAUUGAGCUGUGAUGGGGAGCGAAGUUUAGUAGCGAAGUUAGUGAUGUCACACUGCCGAGAAAAGCUUCUAGCGUUAAUUAUACUCUACCCGUACCGCAAACCGACACAGGUAGUCGAGGCGAGUAGCCUCAGGUGAGCGAGAGAACUCUCGUUAAGGAACUCGGCAAAAUGGCCCCGUAACUUCGGGAGAAGGGGCGCUGACUGAUGGUCAGCCGCAGUGAAUAGGCCCAAGCAACUGUUUAUCAAAAACACAGCUCUCUGCUAAAUCGUAAGAUGAUGUAUAGGGGGUGACGCCUGCCCGGUGCUGGAAGGUUAAGAGGAGUGCUUAGCGUAAGCGAAGGCAUGAAUUGAAGCCCCAGUAAACGGCGGCCGUAACUAUAACGGUCCUAAGGUAGCGAAAUUCCUUGUCGGGUAAGUUCCGACCCGCACGAAAGGCGUAAUGAUUUGGGCACUGUCUCAACGAGAGACUCGGUGAAAUUUUAGUACCUGUGAAGAUGCAGGUUACCCGCGACAGGACGGAAAGACCCCAUGGAGCUUUACUGCAGUUUGAUAUUGAGUAUCUGUACCACAUGUACAGGAUAGGUAGGAGCCUAUGACCUCGGGACGCCAGUUUCGAGUGAGGCGUUGUUGGGAUACUACCCUUGUGUUAUGGCUACUCUAACCCAGAUAGGUUAUCCCUAUCGGAGACAGUGUCUGACGGGCAGUUUGACUGGGGCGGUCGCCUCCUAAAAGGUAACGGAGGCGCCCAAAGGUUCCCUCAGAAUGGUUGGAAAUCAUUCGCAGAGUGUAGUGUAAAGGUAUAAGGGAGCUUGACUGCGAGAGCUACAACUCGAGCAGGGACGAAAGUCGGGCUUAGUGAUCCGGUGGUUCCGUAUGGAAGGGCCAUCGCUCAACGGAUAAAAGCUACCCUGGGGAUAACAGGCUUAUCUCCCCCAAGAGUUCACAUCGACGGGGAGGUUUGGCACCUCGAUGUCGGCUCGUCGCAUCCUGGGGCUGUAGUCGGUCCCAAGGGUUGGGCUGUUCGCCCAUUAAAGCGGCACGCGAGCUGGGUUCAGAACGUCGUGAGACAGUUCGGUCCCUAUCCGUCGCGGGCGUAGGAAAUUUGAGAGGAUCUGCUCCUAGUACGAGAGGACCAGAGUGGACUUACCGCUGGUGUACCAGUUGUUCUGCCAAGAGCAUCGCUGGGUAGCUAUGUAGGGAAGGGAUAAACGCUGAAAGCAUCUAAGUGUGAAGCCCACCUCAAGAUGAGAUUUCCCAUGAUUUUAUAUCAGUAAGAGCCCUGAGAGAUGAUCAGGUUGAUAGGUUAGAAGUGGAAGUGUGGUGACACAUGUAGCGGACUAAUACUAAUAGCUCGAGGACUUAUCCAA
This is a ribosomal RNA of Streptococcus thermophilus LMG 18311, 2905 nucleotides long. It matches the Rfam family "Bacterial large subunit ribosomal RNA". NCBI's taxonomy places the organism in Bacteria, Bacillati, Bacillota, Bacilli, Lactobacillales, Streptococcaceae. The record is from Rfam.